Molecule: ribosomal RNA, 260 nt
Filed under: uncultured bacterium
Lineage: Bacteria
Description: partial 16S ribosomal RNA
Rfam family: Bacterial small subunit ribosomal RNA
Source: RNAcentral
CAGCCGCGGUAAUACGUAGGUGGCAAGCGUUGUCCGGAAUUAUUGGGCGUAAAGCGCGCGCAGGCGGCUUCUUAAGUCCAUCUUAAAAGUGCGGGGCUUAACCCCGUGAUGGGAUGGAAACUGAGAGGCUGGAGUAUCGGAGAGGAAAGUGGAAUUCCUAGUGUAGCGGUGAAAUGCGUAGAGAUUAGGAAGAACACCGGUGGCGAAGGGCGACUUUCUGGACGACAACUGACGCUGAGGCGCGAAAGCGUGGGGAGCAA